AUUGAACGCUGGCGGCAGGCCUAACACAUGCAAGUCGAGCGGAUGAAGGGAGCUUGCUCCUGGAUUCAGCGGCGGACGGGUGAGUAAUGCCUAGGAAUCUGCCUGGUAGUGGGGGAUAACGUCCGGAAACGGGCGCUAAUACCGCAUACGUCCUGAGGGAGAAAGUGGGGGAUCUUCGGACCUCACGCUAUCAGAUGAGCCUAGGUCGGAUUAGCUAGUUGGUGGGGUAAAGGCCUACCAAGGCGACGAUCCGUAACUGGUCUGAGAGGAUGAUCAGUCACACUGGAACUUGGACACGGUCCAGACUCCUACGGGAGGCAGCAGUGGGGAAUAUUGGACAAUGGGCGAAAGCCUGAUCCAGCCAUGCCGCGUGUGUGAAGAAGGUCUUCGGAUUGUAAAGCACUUUAAGUUGGGAGGAAGGGCAGUAAGUUAAUACCUUGCUGUUUUGACGUUACCAACAGAAUAAGCACCGGCUAACUUCGG
This 483-nucleotide ribosomal RNA is filed under the name uncultured bacterium. RNAcentral's name for it is "partial 16S ribosomal RNA". It matches the Rfam family "Bacterial small subunit ribosomal RNA", at positions 30 to 506 of the family's 1533-position model. The record is from RNAcentral.